GCGGCAGUGGCGGAAUUGGCAGACGCGCUAGAUUCAGGAUCUAGUCCCGUUACGGUGGUGGGGGUUCGAGUCCCUUCUGCCGCACCA
This 87-nucleotide transfer RNA is filed under the name Syntrophomonadaceae bacterium. RNAcentral's name for it is "tRNA-Leu". It matches the Rfam family "tRNA". From Rfam's summary of the family: Transfer RNA (tRNA) molecules are approximately 80 nucleotides in length. Their secondary structure includes four short double-helical elements and three loops (D, anti-codon, and T loops). The record is from RNAcentral. Lineage: Bacteria; Bacillati; Bacillota; Clostridia; Eubacteriales; Syntrophomonadaceae.